GAAGGUUUAGCUCAGUGGUAGAGCACAUGCCUAGCAUGCACGAGGCCCUGCGUUCAAUCCCCAGUCCCUCCA
This 72-nucleotide transfer RNA is filed under the name Camelus bactrianus (Bactrian camel). It matches the Rfam family "tRNA". Rfam says of the family: Transfer RNA (tRNA) molecules are approximately 80 nucleotides in length. Their secondary structure includes four short double-helical elements and three loops (D, anti-codon, and T loops). Further hydrogen bonds mediate the characteristic L-shaped molecular structure. tRNAs have two regions of fundamental functional importance: the anti-codon, which is responsible for specific mRNA codon recognition, and the 3' end, to which the tRNAs corresponding amino acid is attached (by aminoacyl-tRNA synthetases). tRNAs cope with the degeneracy of the genetic code in two manners: having more than one tRNA (with a specific anti-codon) for a particular amino acid; and 'wobble' base-pairing, i.e. permitting non-standard base-pairing at the 3rd anti-codon position. Lineage: Eukaryota; Metazoa; Chordata; Mammalia; Artiodactyla; Camelidae. RNAcentral also lists the same sequence under 2 other names. The record is from Rfam by way of RNAcentral.